The sequence is a small nucleolar RNA, 66 nucleotides long. It matches the Rfam family "Trypanosomatid snoRNA TB9Cs4H1".
CGAGGUCUACGUGUACCCCACGAGCCCUGUUAAUAGAUGGCGCGCCGGGGAAUGGAACAGACCGAG